RNAcentral lists this non-coding RNA (22 nucleotides) under Rattus norvegicus (Norway rat). Lineage: Eukaryota; Metazoa; Chordata; Mammalia; Rodentia; Muridae. The record is from RNAcentral.
UAGAGUUGGAUUAAUCCAGAGA